AUUUACUGAAAGAGUUACUUUGUAUGAAAAUGGAAAAAAUUGUAAUAUUAGACUAACCUGGACGCCCACAAGAAAUAGUGUCGUUUACUCAAAUCAUUUCAAUACCUUCUGACUUUCAAGUGUGGAACUGGCAACAUUAAUAAUGGAAAAAUGUACCGGUAUAAACAUUUCUUUCUUAAUGAAAAAAGAAAACCCA
Molecule: long non-coding RNA, 196 nt
Organism: Melitaea cinxia (Glanville fritillary)
Lineage: Eukaryota; Metazoa; Arthropoda; Insecta; Lepidoptera; Nymphalidae
Exons: 4
Source: RefSeq, a predicted model, not a curated record